GAUGAACGCUGGCGGCGUGCCUAAUACAUGUAAGUCGAGCGAACAGACGAGGAGCUUGCUCCUCUGACGUUAGCGGCGGACGGGUGAGUAACACGUGGAUAACCUACCUAUAAGACUGGGAUAACUUCGGGAAACCGGAGCUAAUACCGGAUAAUAUAUUGAACCGCAUGGUUCAAUAGUGAAAGACGGUUUUGCUGUCACUUAUAGAUGGAUCCGCGCCGCAUUAGCUAGUUGGUAAGGUAACGGCUUACCAAGGCAACGAUGCGUAGCCGACCUGAGAGGGUGAUCGGCCACACUGGAACUGAGAAACGGUCCAAACUCCUACGGGAGGCCGCCGUAGGAAAUCUUCCGCAAUGGGCGAAAGCUUGACGGAGGAACCCCGCGUGAGUGAUGAAGGUCUUCGGGUCGUAAAACUCUGUUAUUAGGGAAGAACAAAUGUGUAAGUAACUAUGCACGUCUUGACGGUACCUAAUCAGAAAGCCACGGCUAACUACGUG
This 497-nucleotide ribosomal RNA is filed under the name uncultured bacterium. RNAcentral's name for it is "partial 16S ribosomal RNA". It matches the Rfam family "Bacterial small subunit ribosomal RNA", at positions 28 to 507 of the family's 1533-position model. The record is from RNAcentral.